AAACUCGGUCAUUUAGAGGAAGUAAAAGUCGUAACAAGGUC
This 41-nucleotide ribosomal RNA is filed under the name Leptographium piriforme. Its description in RNAcentral is "partial 18S ribosomal RNA". The record is from RNAcentral. Lineage: Eukaryota; Fungi; Ascomycota; Sordariomycetes; Ophiostomatales; Ophiostomataceae.